Hibiscus syriacus is the source of this 217-nucleotide long non-coding RNA. RefSeq lists it as uncharacterized. The transcript is spliced from 3 exons. NCBI's taxonomy places the organism in Eukaryota, Viridiplantae, Streptophyta, Magnoliopsida, Malvales, Malvaceae. The record is from RefSeq and is a predicted model, not a curated record.
UUAGAACUCGGUUACGUGGUAGCUUCAAAACGAUGGCAGAGUAUGAGUAGAAAGACUCCGCCUUACGCAGCAGCUCCGUCACGGAAUCCAUCUUCUUAAAGAAUCGCUUCCCGAUCUCGUAGGUGGACUUCAGGUUCCUCGGGCAGCAAUCUCCUACACAUUUGUUUUUGAGUUCAUCGUCGCCUUGUUGAACAAUUAUGCUCAGUUCACCAACAAU